This 482-nucleotide ribosomal RNA is filed under the name uncultured bacterium. RNAcentral describes it as "bacterial SSU rRNA". It matches the Rfam family "Bacterial small subunit ribosomal RNA", at positions 29 to 507 of the family's 1533-position model. The record is from RNAcentral.
AUGAACGCUAGCGGCAGGCCUAAUACAUGCAAGUCGAACGGUAGAUCGGGUAGCAAUACUUGAUUGAGAGUGACGUAAGGGUGCGUAACACGUAUGCAAUCUACCCUCAACAGGAGUAUAGCUCGGGGAAACUCGGAUUAACACUCCAUAACAUUACGAUGUGGCAUCACAUUGUGAUUAAAACUCCGGUGGUUGAGGAUGAGCAUGCGUCCGAUUAGUUAGUUGGAGGUGUAACGGACCCCCAAGACGAUGAUCAGUAGGGGAACUGAGAGGUUGAUCCCCCACACUGGCACUGAGAUACGGGCCAGACUCCUACGGGAGGCAGCAGUAGGGAAUAUUGGUCAAUGGGUGAGAGCCUGAACCAGCCAUGCCGCGUGCAGGAAGACGGCCUUCUGGGUUGUAAACUGCUUUUAUCUGGGGAUAAAAAGCCCAUGCGUGGGACAUUGAAGGUACCAGAUGAAUAAGCACCGGCUAACUACGUG